Molecule: long non-coding RNA, 1702 nt
Organism: Triticum aestivum (bread wheat)
Lineage: Eukaryota; Viridiplantae; Streptophyta; Magnoliopsida; Poales; Poaceae
Exons: 3
Source: RefSeq, a predicted model, not a curated record
CUCUGCCCCGAUGCCCCACCUUCUUCUUCCUCCCUCCCCUGUCUCCCCCAACCAACCGCCGCCACACCCCAAAGCCCUGCCUCGGUGGUUGCCAGAUUCGCACAAGAUAGACUGCUCCCGAGCCUGCCCCACCAAUCGACGGAUCUGGCCAGCCAUGGUCCUGUGCGACCCGGAUGGAUCCGGCCAAAACCACAGCAUUCCACCGUUCUUCCCUCCCUUUGGUGCAUCCGUCUCUUUGGUAGCACCAACAGACGGCGGCUCCCAACCAGAAGGAGGAGGCUGAGGCUGUGGCGCCCUGCCCCCGAGCCUAGGAGCUCCUUCGAUUUGUAGCACACGGGCAGUUCUUUUUUUGAUUUUUUGUUUGUGGAUGCACAUAUGCCGUUCAGAGGGAGCUCUCUCUCUCUCUCUCCCAUCUCCAAUUCCUUCUCGUGCAACACCCCCCAACUGCCACAAAUCUCACAAAAAUGAGUCUCCGUCAUGCAGUUCUUCAAUUUGAUUUUGUUUGUUUUUUGUGUUAUCCAAUUCGGUUCAAUGUUUAUGUGCAUUCAUGUUUGAUUUUUUUGCAGUAGAGAACUGCAGAAAGGAAUGGCUCCGCCCUUGGGUUCACAAUCUCUCCAGUGGGUCUCCGUCGAGCAAUAUGCAGCUUUGUACAGUAUAUUCCUUCCCAGCUUCCCUCAACAAGCAGGCCGGGGCGGCACGCCACGGACAGGCUGACGGCGGCAUCUCGCAGGUCUCCAUCCACUGCUCGUAACUCUCCAUCCACUCACCGAAAUUGAGCAAGUGAUAUACCAGUGGAAAGCUGCUUGGUGGAGCUAUGCAAUGACAUGCACCAAAAACAUGCACACAAAUUCAGAGAGGUCAGAAGCUAUGAAGUACAAGUAUACGAGUACAUGUGUAUCCGUGUAUCUGCGGUUGAUUGUGUGGAAGAGGUGCUCACAGACAGACAAAGUCGAUGCUCGACGGACGCAUGGCCGUCACAGUUCUAAUAGAGGCAGAAUGGAUACAGGCUAGGUCCGGGCAACCGUCCUGAUGUGCCUUGUGCCCUGCUGCUGACCUUCAAUAGGAAAUAACAGAGAACUUGAGUCGCGGUGUAUCAAGCAUCAUGUGUUUGAUUUUUAGAGCAUCCUUGCUUGUAAGGUGGAGUACUAAUCAAAUAUCAAAGGGAACUUAAUAUUUGGAAAUAUAAUUCUAAGUAUCCGUAGGGAGAACUCAACUAGGACUGCUCUUCCAGCCAGACCAUUGCUUCCUUUUCAUAAUUUUUCAUACAGAAAAAAAAUAAGAAAUAGAUGCCAUGACCUGUGCUCAGUGUGGACCGAAGGAAAUUACUCUAGCAUCUGCAAGAACAAGUAAAUGAAUUACCCUAUGCUACUGACGGACUGUCGGGAGGAUUUGUUUUAGUGCGUACGACCAUUUUUGCAUCUCCAUCCAGUCGCAAUUGACGCUGCGACCGCCACGAUGGGAAAUUUGAGCGGCUGCGUCAGGAGGGUUGCAGGCAGUGGUGGUGCGUAGGCAUAAACAUGUACGUACAUUUAUAAUGGAAAGUCAAUCACUGUAUGAACAACAAUCUUCUGAAUUUAUAUGCAAGAACUAUCUGAAGUUUUCUUCCUCUGUUGUACCUGAACUUCAAUUCCAAAAAAAUGGAAAGUGGUCACCGGCGAGUAAAGGGCGGUGAAGGAUCUUGCCAGAUCCGACGACCCUCGAC